UAAAAGUUAGUUAAUUUCCUAUAACGUAAGUUUGUCAAAUUUAAAUAAUUUUUUUAUAAAUACUUUUAU
RNAcentral lists this transfer RNA (69 nucleotides) under Austropotamobius pallipes (white-clawed crayfish). RNAcentral's name for it is "tRNA-Asp". Lineage: Eukaryota; Metazoa; Arthropoda; Malacostraca; Decapoda; Astacidae. The record is from RNAcentral.